CUAAAAGUCGUGUGUACAUAAUAUUGUUCAUGUUAGACUGGAGUACCUAGUGGUCCCAUCUGGCCUUAAUCUUUCUGAAUGUAGCAAAGACAACUCUCUUUUACACUGCUUGGAGAGAAGGAUGUGCAUCUUUGCCUUGAGGACUGGAAGCAGCAAGCUGUUGUAGCCUAACCUAAAUAAAGAGAUGCGACCAUGGGAAGGUUAUUCUCCGGUUAUAUUUUCCUGACCUUUGCGAAGAAAGAAGACAAGGCUUCUCUUCCAAGAUGAUGUUCUAGCUGCCGUACUCUGUGGGUGAUAAUUUGCUGAGACUCCAAGUAACUUCUCACAGCAGAAGAGUAGCAACAUUCCCUUAUUAUCUGGAGCCAUACCUUCCAAACAUUGUCUAAUCUUACUGGGGAUUUCAGACAGUGAUGGUGACACAGAGCUCCUCAUGAGGUGUGGAGUCAUCAGGAAGUGGAAAGCUAUCUCUUCAAGGAAGAUGGCUGAUGGCAAGGAGCAGUAACACAGAUGUCAAAAAGAAAUUGUUCUCAGACUUUCUGAUGAAUAUGAAAGACAUUCCGUUUGUGAAGAAUACAGGGGGAGCAAUGUGUUGCCUGUUCCAAGCCAUGUGCUUUGCUAACAGUUGAUGGAUUGCCAAAUGCAUGGGCCACUUCAGCUGGCAGAGAGCCCUGGUUAAAUCAUAUAAUUUGGCAGCACUGAAUUUCUAAUGAACUGUUUUCCUAAUUUCAUAGAGAAUGGCCAGUGUGCCAUGGGAAUUUUGCAGAAAUUAUGGUGUCAAAAACACACCUAGUGCAUGAAAAAGCAACACUGAUGUAUGUGGCUUUGCAGGAUCAAUAUCGUCCCAAGUGUUGACCUUCAGCAAGACCACACAGGAGAAACUGGUUAAGUUUAUCAUCCCCUCUGCUAUUUUGGACUCUGGCAGACUUCUCAGCAUUGCCACUCAGCAAUGAAACAGGGAUACUCUCAGUUUUGACCCUUACCCUUGCUUUCUCCCUCAUGUACAAAGGAAAAUGGCAAGUGAUGGUGGGCAAUCCAUGAGGUUUAUUGCACAGUGUGUGGGAUGAGCAAGCCUAGAUGAUUCAAAGGCAAGGACAGUUGGGUCUGGUGGCUACCUCUAUAAAGUCAGGUCUGAGAAUUUGUAUUCACUACAUGAGAGUACAGACCAUACUGCUCGUGGCCGUUUCUCUCUGCUGUGCUGUAAUUUAUUAUGACAGAAACCAGGGUUAGUGUUAUCUUGCCCAGCUGCCGAGACAAUGAUUAUGCGCUUUUCCUUGAUACAGAGCUGUCUCUCCCUUUAAGAGAAUUGGUGUUUGCAGGGUUUCUGUGUUUCUGUAGGAAUUUUGCCAGCAUAUGGCAGAUAAGCCCUGCAAUAUGCAUCUCUGCAGCAAGAAUAAAGCCAGCCACAGAACCAACCUGGGGCAACCAGAAAGAUCACAGGUGAGACCAGUCCUCCUUUUCCUGGAAAAAAAUUACCAUGUCCCCUUCUAGAAAUAGUAAUAUAAAACCAAACCAAGACAAAAAAAAACUAAAAACCCUGUACCAUUUCAGAACUAACACAAGAGAGAACGAGUCUUUGAGCUACCCUUUCCCGUGUUUCUGCCUUGCUGAUGCAGGAUAAUAUUAAAGUGCUGGUAAACCAUCAUUUUGUCCCCUCCUGUCCAGGUAAGAGAGGGUGAUAAGAGAGAGGCACAGACCAAAGGCACAGAGAGUGCUAGUGAGUAGCCUCUGCUCCUGGACCUCAUGUAGCUCAGUGCUUGUUCUUUCUACCUGUUAUUCAGUCAUGCAGCCUUAUCAGUCACAGUCUUAUUGUGAGUGAAAUAUCAUGACGUGACCCCAGCGAGAUAUAUAAAAUCUGGAUGGAAGGUUGGUUCAUUCUUUCUUUACUUACUUUUACAUAAAGAUUUUUGUCAUUUUACUAAAAUUAACCUUACUAAGAAACACACCACAGUUCUCUUAAAGCUACAGCUUCUGUGCAAACAGAAUUCAUUAUGCCCCCAGCCAACCAUGCACAAAGAAACAAGCUCUGCUUUUCUCUUUCUUCACUGUUUCUGUGAACCCAAAGCACGAAUGGAAUACUGUCCCAGUGAUGCGACAAUGUUAAAAUAAGAAACUGAGAAAUGAAUGUGAACUUAGCAUUUCCAGGAAAAUAAAGAGGCAAGUCUACACUAAGACAGCUCAGGGAAUUUAAGUAAAGACAUACAUUCUAAGAGAGUUUUCUAUUACUGUCAACUAAAUUGCCUUAUGAGUUCCUAAAAAUUCUAAUUUAAGAUUUUGAUCUUUAUUUACAAAUAUUUAAUGACAUAAAUGCAUGCAAGUUUACUUUUUAAAAGAAAUUAAGAUGUAUAAUGGUUACAUAUUGGAGGAAGACAAAGAACAUCUGUGGCAUCACAGUGUUUUUUACACAUAAGAAGAUUGUUUGGGGGAUUGGUUGCUUACAGACACCUGCUUAGCAAUGAUGCCAAAGCCAGCCUGCUUCAUUAGCGCUGACAGAUGACUGAUACCACCUAAUAGCCUUGAUUCUGACAGACAGAUCAGUUGCUUUAGCCAUAUAAAAUCUGUAUAAAUAAUUGAUAAAAACUGACAUAUUAAAUAAAAAUGAAACAGACUUUUGAAUAUUGAAACUUCAAAAGUUUUUUAUAUUAUUAAAUUUGGCAUGGAACAAUGAUCAAAAUUUAGACUUGCACAAAAUAAGUCCCCUGGCUUACUCUGCUGUUCUUUGGGCAUAAUCAGAUAAUCUUUUGCGUUAUAGUUGGAAUGACUGAAAUAAUGACCACCUAGGUAUUUCUUAUUGCCUCAGUGCUGAAAAAAGAAGGAAUCCCAAUAUGUAGUCAUCUUUGUGUAACUUGUUGGAGUUGCUUAAUUUUAUCAUUACUUUUUGUUUCUGGUAAAUAUGAAGUAUAUAUUUAUCAAGAAGCAACUACAUUUAAUUUGAUUUCUCUUCACAUUAAAAGGUCAUCCAUUAUUGAAAAACAUUUAUAAAUGUUUCUGCUACCUCUGAAUAAUACACUGUUCCCCAGAAAUAAAAGUAU
This is a long non-coding RNA of Cygnus olor (mute swan), 3029 nucleotides long. RefSeq lists it as uncharacterized. The record is from RefSeq and is a predicted model, not a curated record. Lineage: Eukaryota; Metazoa; Chordata; Aves; Anseriformes; Anatidae. The transcript has 3 exons.